RNAcentral lists this unclassified non-coding RNA (372 nucleotides) under soil metagenome. RNAcentral describes it as "partial contains 5.8S ribosomal RNA, internal transcribed spacer 2, and large subunit ribosomal RNA". The stretch from base 1 to 121 matches the Rfam family "5.8S ribosomal RNA", at positions 35 to 154 of the family's 154-position model. The record is from RNAcentral.
GAUGAAGAACGUAGUGAAAUGCGAUAAGUAAUGCGAAUUGCAGAAUUCCAGUGAGUCAUCGAAUCUUUGAACGCACAUUGCGCCCUUUGGUAUUCCGAAGGGCAUGCCUGUUCGAGCGUCAUUAUCACCCCUCAAGCCCUCGGCUUGGUGUUGGACGGUUUGGUGGAGGCCCCCUCGGGGGUUCCUGCCCCUCCCAAAGACAAUGACGGCGGCCUCGUUGGACCCCCGGUACACUGAGUUCUUCACGGGACACGUAUCGGACACAUGGGUUUACGGGACACGGUCUGCCUCCCCUCAGGGAGAAUCUUUCUAAGGUUGACCUCGGAUCAGGUAGGGAUACCCGCUGAACUUAAGCAUAUCAAAAGCGGAGGA